GGCCUAUUAGAUUUGGAAACAAGUAUGUAUGAACUUUUGAGUGAUAAUAAACAAAACUUCCCAUUAUACAGCCAUGACCUCAAACUUUUUUGUGCUGCAUCUAUGGGCAGCUAUUGGGAGUAUAAGCUAAUAUUCCUUUUCUUAAUUUCUUUUCUCCCUCAAUGUUUUUCUUCAACUUCAGUAAUUAUUGUGAAACCGAAGCAUCCGAACAAGCAGUGAGAUCCGCAGAAAAAGAACCGCUAAAUGAGCAGUAAAUCAAAUAAAAAUACGAAAUUGCUAAUCAGACAAACAAAAAAGUUCACAAACCAGCUACAAAAAACAAAAUUAUUCGCAACUGAGAACACUAUAUAACCAGACCACAUCAAUAAAAGAAGCAAUUGAAAACACAGAGUA
This 393-nucleotide unclassified non-coding RNA is filed under the name Hevea brasiliensis (rubber tree). The record is from RNAcentral. Lineage: Eukaryota; Viridiplantae; Streptophyta; Magnoliopsida; Malpighiales; Euphorbiaceae.